This 371-nucleotide ribosomal RNA is filed under the name uncultured bacterium. RNAcentral's name for it is "bacterial SSU rRNA". It matches the Rfam family "Bacterial small subunit ribosomal RNA", at positions 525 to 896 of the family's 1533-position model. The record is from RNAcentral.
ACGUAGGGUGCAAGCGUUAAUCGGAAUUACUGGGCGUAAAGCGUGCGCAGGCGGUUAUGUAAGACAGAGGUGAAAUCCCCGGGCUCAACCUGGGAACUGCCUUUGUGACUGCAUAGCUAGAGUACGGUAGGGGGGGAUGGAAUUCCGCGUGUAGCAGUGAAAUGCGUAGAUAUGCGGAGGAACACCGAUGGCGAAGGCAAUCCCCUGGACCUGUACUGACGCUCAUGCACGAAAGCGUGGGGAGCAAACAGGAUUAGAUACCCUGGUAGUCCACGCCCUAAACGAUGUCAACUGGUUGUUGGGUCUUCACUGACUCAGUAACGAAGCUAACGCGUGAAGUUGACCGCCUGGGGAGUGCGGCCGCAAGGUUG